RNAcentral lists this ribosomal RNA (429 nucleotides) under uncultured bacterium. Its description in RNAcentral is "bacterial SSU rRNA". It matches the Rfam family "Bacterial small subunit ribosomal RNA", at positions 29 to 506 of the family's 1533-position model. The record is from RNAcentral.
AUUGAACGCUGGCGGCAUGGCUAAAACAUGCAAGUCGAACGUACCCGCAAGGGUAAGUGGCGAAAGGGUCAGUAAUACGAUCGAAUGUACCCCGAGGUAGGGGAUAGCGCUGGGAAACUGGCGGUAAUACCCUAUGAGCUCGAAAGAGGAAAGAUUUUUCGCCUUGGGAGCAGCGAUCGUCCUAUCAGGUAGUUGGCGGGGUAACGGCCCACCAAGCCGAAGACGGGUAGCGGGUGUGAGAGCACGGCCCGCGACAUCGGGACUGAGACACUGCCCGGACUCCUACGGGAGGCUGCAGUAACGAAUCUUCCGCAAUGGGCGAAAGCCUGACGGAGCAAUGCCGCGUGCGGGAUGAAGCGCCUACGGCGUGUAAACCGCUGUCAGGGACGGAACCAAUGAUGUCCCAGAGGAAGAGCCGGCUAACCCUGU